CCUACGGGAGGCAGCAGUAGGGAAUAUUGGUCAAUGGACGAGAGUCUGAACCAGCCAAGUAGCGUGAAGGAUGACUGCCCUAUGGGUUGUAAACUUCUUUUAUAUGGGAAUAAAACGUUCCACGUGUGGGAUUUUGUAUGUACCAUAUGAAUAAGGAUCGGCUAACUCCGUGCCAGCAGCCGCGGUAAUACGGAGGAUCCGAGCGUUAUCCGGAUUUAUUGGGUUUAAAGGGAGCGUAGGUGGAUUGUUAAGUCAGUUGUGAAAGUUUGCGGCUCAACCGUAAAAUUGCAGUUGAAACUGGCAGUCUUGAGUACAGUAGAGGUGGGCGGAAUUCGUGGUGUAGCGGUGAAAUGCUUAGAUAUCACGAAGAACUCCGAUUGCGAAGGCAGUUCACUGGACUGCAACUGACACUGAGGCUCGAAAGUGUGGGUAUCAAACAGGAUUAGAUACCCCUGUAGUC
This 460-nucleotide ribosomal RNA is filed under the name uncultured bacterium. RNAcentral describes it as "partial 16S ribosomal RNA". It matches the Rfam family "Bacterial small subunit ribosomal RNA", at positions 338 to 795 of the family's 1533-position model. The record is from RNAcentral.